UCGAGAAUCUUCGGCAAUGCGCGAAAGCGUGACCGAGCGAUGCCGCGUGCGGGAUGAAGGCCUUCGGGUUGUAAACCGUGAAAGUAAGGAGGAAGGCGCUGUGAAGAGCAGCGUUUGACCGAUUUACAGUAAGGACGGGCUAAGUUCGUGCCAGCAGCCGCGGUAACACGAACCGUCCGAACGUUAUUCGGAAUUAUUGGGCUUAAAGGGUGCGUAGGCGGCGUGUUAAGUCGGGUGUGAAAUCCCACAGCUCAACUGUGGAACUGCGCCCGAUACUGGCAUGCUCGAGGGAGACAGAGGUGAGCGGAACUGAUGGUGGAGCGGUGAAAUGCGUUGAUAUCAUCAGGAACACCAGUGGCGAAAGCGGCUCACUGGGUCUCUUCUGACGCUGAGGCACGAAAGCUAGGGUAGCGAACGGGAUUAGAUACCCCCGUAGUCC
RNAcentral lists this ribosomal RNA (439 nucleotides) under uncultured prokaryote. Its description in RNAcentral is "bacterial SSU rRNA". It matches the Rfam family "Bacterial small subunit ribosomal RNA", at positions 355 to 796 of the family's 1533-position model. The record is from RNAcentral.